ACGAACGCUGGCGGCAUGCCUAACACAUGCAAGUCGAACGAGACCUUCGGGUCUAGUGGCGCACGGGUGCGUAACGCGUGGGAACCUGCCCUUAGGUUCGGAAUAACUCCCCGAAAGGGGUGCUAAUACCGGAUAAUGUCUUCGGACCAAAGAUUUAUCGCCUUUGGAUGGGCCCGCGUUGGAUUAGCUAGUUGGUAGGGUAAAAGCCUACCAAGGCGACGAUCCAUAGCUGGUCUGAGAGGAUGAUCAGCCACACUGGGACUGAGACACGGCCCAGACUCCUACGGGAGGCAGCAGUGGGGAAUAGUGGACAAUGGGCGAAAGCCUGAUCCAGCAAUGCCGCGUGAGUGAUGAAGGCCUUAGGGUUGUAAAGCUCUUUUACCCGGGAUGAUAAUGACAGUACCGGGAGAAUAAGCUCCGGCUAACUCCGUG
RNAcentral lists this ribosomal RNA (432 nucleotides) under uncultured bacterium. RNAcentral's name for it is "partial 16S ribosomal RNA". It matches the Rfam family "Bacterial small subunit ribosomal RNA", at positions 29 to 507 of the family's 1533-position model. The record is from RNAcentral.